UACGUAGGGUGCGAGCGUUAAUCGGAAUUACUGGGCGUAAAGCGUGCGCAGGCGGUUCGUUGUGUCGGCGGUGAAAGCCCCGGGCUCAACCUGGGAAUGGCCGUUGAAACUGGCGAACUGGAGUGUGGCAGAGGGGGGUGGAAUUCCGCGUGUAGCAGUGAAAUGCGUAGAGAUGCGGAGGAACACCGAUGGCGAAGGCAGCCCCCUGGGCUGACACUGGCGCUCAGGCACGAAAGCGUGGGGAGCAAACAGG
RNAcentral lists this ribosomal RNA (253 nucleotides) under uncultured bacterium. RNAcentral describes it as "partial 16S ribosomal RNA". It matches the Rfam family "Bacterial small subunit ribosomal RNA", at positions 524 to 776 of the family's 1533-position model. The record is from RNAcentral.